This 73-nucleotide transfer RNA is filed under the name Camelus bactrianus (Bactrian camel). It matches the Rfam family "tRNA". From Rfam's summary of the family: Transfer RNA (tRNA) molecules are approximately 80 nucleotides in length. Their secondary structure includes four short double-helical elements and three loops (D, anti-codon, and T loops). RNAcentral also lists the same sequence under 2 other names. Lineage: Eukaryota; Metazoa; Chordata; Mammalia; Artiodactyla; Camelidae. The record is from Rfam by way of RNAcentral.
AAGGGUAUAGCUCAGUGGUAGAGCGCAUGCUUAGCAUGCAUGAGGUCCUGGGUUCCUAUCCCCAGUACCUCCU